This 564-nucleotide ribosomal RNA is filed under the name Escherichia coli. RNAcentral's name for it is "partial 23S ribosomal RNA". It matches the Rfam family "Bacterial large subunit ribosomal RNA", at positions 2304 to 2869 of the family's 2925-position model. Lineage: Bacteria; Pseudomonadati; Pseudomonadota; Gammaproteobacteria; Enterobacterales; Enterobacteriaceae. The record is from RNAcentral.
AGGCGCUCAAAGGUUCCCUCAGAAUGGUUGGAAAUCAUUCAUAGAGUGUAAAGGCAUAAGGGAGCUUGACUGCGAGACCUACAAGUCGAGCAGGGUCGAAAGACGGACUUAGUGAUCCGGUGGUUCCGCAUGGAAGGGCCAUCGCUCAACGGAGAAAAGCUACCCCGGGGAUAACAGGCGUAUCUCCCCCAAGAGUUCACAUCGACGGGGAGGUUUGGCACCUCGAUGUCGGCUCAUCGCAUCCUGGGGCUGUAGUCGGUCCCAAGGGUUGGGCUGUUCGCCCAUUAAAGCGGUACGCGAGCUGGGUUCAGAACGUCGUGAGACAGUUCGGUCCCUAUCCGUCGUGGGCGUAGGAAAUUUGAGAGGAGCUGUCCUUAGUACGAGAGGACCGGGAUGGACAUACCUCUGGUGUACCAGUUGUCGUGCCAACGGCAUAGCUGGGUAGCUAUGUGUGGACGGGAUAAGUGCUGAAAGCAUCUAAGCAUGAAGCCCCCCUCAAGAUGAGAUUUCCCAACUUCGGUUAUAAGAUCCCUCAAAGAUGAUGAGGUUAAUAGGUUCGAUGUG